Dehalogenimonas sp. WBC-2 is the source of this 136-nucleotide non-coding RNA. The record is from Rfam. NCBI's taxonomy places the organism in Bacteria, Bacillati, Chloroflexota, Dehalococcoidia, Dehalococcoidales, Dehalococcoidaceae.
AAAUUAACAAAAGAAAAUCCGAAGACAGCCGGUGUCCCUGUUAUGGGACUUAAUGCAAUGCCUGCCGAGGAACCGAUUAGGGUAUUUGAAUAUCCUUUUGUGAGUCCUUGCGUGCAGGGACUUUUUUAUUAUUAAC